This 586-nucleotide ribosomal RNA is filed under the name Quambalaria cyanescens. Its description in RNAcentral is "partial large subunit ribosomal RNA". It matches the Rfam family "Eukaryotic large subunit ribosomal RNA", at positions 50 to 618 of the family's 3401-position model. The record is from RNAcentral. Lineage: Eukaryota; Fungi; Basidiomycota; Exobasidiomycetes; Microstromatales; Quambalariaceae.
GCGGAGGAAAAGAAACUAACAAGGAUUCCCCUAGUAACGGCGAGUGAAGCGGGAAGAGCUCAAAUUUGAAAGCUGGCACCUUCGGUGUCCGCGUUGUAAUCUCGAGAAGUGUUUUCCGUGCUGGACCAUGUACAAGUUCCUUGGAAUAGGACGUCAUAGAGGGUGAAAAUCCCGUACUUGACAUGGACGCCCAGUGCUUUGUGAUACACUCUCCACGAGUCGAGUUGUUUGGGAAUGCAGCUCAAAAUGGGUGGUAAAUUCCAUCUAAAGCUAAAUAUUGGGGAGAGACCGAUAGCGAACAAGUACCGUGAGGGAAAGAUGAAAAGCACUUUGGAAAGAGAGUUAAACAGUACGUGAAAUUGUCGAAAGGGAAGCGCUUGAAGUUAGACAUGCUUGCCGGGAUUCAGCCUUGCUUUUGCUUGGUGCAUUUCCCGGUGUGCAGGCCAGCAUCAGUUUUGUUUGCCGGAUAAGGGUGAGAGGAAUGUGGCCCCUCGGGGUGUUAUAGCCUCUCACUGGAUACGGCGGAUGGGACUGAGGACCGCAGUGUGCCUUUAUGGCGGGCCUUCGGGCACCUUCACACUUAGGA